Molecule: ribosomal RNA, 432 nt
Filed under: uncultured bacterium
Lineage: Bacteria
Description: partial 16S ribosomal RNA
Rfam family: Bacterial small subunit ribosomal RNA
Source: RNAcentral
CCUACGGGAGGCAGCAGUAGGGAAUUUUCCACAAUGGGCGAGAGCCUGAUGGAGCAACGCCGCGUGAUGGAUGAAGGCCUUAGGGUCGUAAACAUCUUUUCUCUGUGACGCGGUAGCAGAGGAAUAAGGGUCGGCUAACUACGUGCCAGCAGCCGCGGUCAUACGUAGGACCCAAGCGUUAUCCGGAUUUACUGGGCGUAAAGAGUGCGUAGGUGGUCUGUUAAGUAAAUAGUGAAAUCGUGUGGCUCAACCAUGCAUCCAUUAUUUAAACUGGCAGACUUGAGAGCGAGAGAGGUAGAUGGAAUUGCUAGUGUAGGAGUGGAAUCCGUAGAUAUUAGCAGGAACACCGAUGGCGUAGGCAGUCUACUGGCUCGUUCUGACACUAAGGCACGAAAGCGUGGGGAGCAAACAGGAUUAGAUACCCUUGUAGUC